UGGUGCAAAAGUGAUUGUGUUUUUUGUAAUUACUUUUAAUGGCAAAACCACACUUGCUUUUGCACCAACCUAAUAACAUUACACUUAAUACUUAACUA
Chlorocebus sabaeus (green monkey) is the source of this 98-nucleotide microRNA precursor. The record is from Ensembl. Lineage: Eukaryota; Metazoa; Chordata; Mammalia; Primates; Cercopithecidae.